Molecule: ribosomal RNA, 119 nt
Filed under: Pteropus alecto (black flying fox)
Lineage: Eukaryota; Metazoa; Chordata; Mammalia; Chiroptera; Pteropodidae
Source: RNAcentral
GUCUACAGCAAUGCUCCCCUGAGCAAGCCUGAUCCCAUCUGAUCUCGGAAGCUAACCAGGGUCGGGACUGGUUAGUACUUAGAUGGAAGACGACCUAGGAAGACCAGGUGCUUUAGGUG